Oncorhynchus gorbuscha (pink salmon) is the source of this 404-nucleotide long non-coding RNA. RefSeq lists it as uncharacterized. The transcript has 3 exons. Lineage: Eukaryota; Metazoa; Chordata; Actinopteri; Salmoniformes; Salmonidae. The record is from RefSeq and is a predicted model, not a curated record.
GGGGCCUUCUUUCAGGAAGCAGAGCAACGUGAGCGCAUGGUGUGAGCAAAGGGCAAUGGAUACAGGGACAUUCUAUGGGUGGAAGGAGCCGAAUCGGGCAGUUACCCUCUGAUAGUGAGGACAGUGAACUUGAGGACAGUGACAGCUAGGAAGAAUGGACCCAAUAAUCAGGAUGUUGAAUGUAUUCGUCCUCUCUAAGGCCAGGAGAUCUUCCAGAAGUUUUUUUGACCAUAUGACCAUAUGACCUGAUAAGAAAAAUAAUCUGGUCCUGUCGUAGGCCAUAGCAGGGACAGGGAAGAUGGUUAAAAUUGAUGGGAAGAUGGAUGGAGCCAAAUACAGGGCCAUUCUGGAAGAAAACCUGAUGGAGUCUGCAAAAGACCUGAGACUGGGACGGAGAUUUGUCU